RNAcentral lists this ribosomal RNA (465 nucleotides) under Vreelandella stevensii. RNAcentral's name for it is "partial 16S ribosomal RNA". It matches the Rfam family "Bacterial small subunit ribosomal RNA", at positions 338 to 795 of the family's 1533-position model. Lineage: Bacteria; Pseudomonadati; Pseudomonadota; Gammaproteobacteria; Oceanospirillales; Halomonadaceae. The record is from RNAcentral.
CCUACGGGAGGCUGCAGUGGGGAAUAUUGGACAAUGGGGGGAACCCUGAUCCAGCCAUGCCGCGUGUGUGAAGAAGGCCCUCGGGUUGUAAAGCACUUUCAGUGAGGAAGAACGCCUGGUGGUUAAUACCCAUCAGGAAAGACAUCACUCACAGAAGAAGCACCGGCUAACUCCGUGCCAGCAGCCGCGGUAAUACGGAGGGUGCGAGCGUUAAUCGGAAUUACUGGGCGUAAAGCGCGCGUAGGUGGCUUGAUAAGCCGGUUGUGAAAGCCACGGGCUCAACCUGGGAACGGCAUCCGGAACUGUCAAGCUAGAGUGCAGGAGAGGAAGGUAGAAUUCCCGGUGUAGCGGUGAAAUGCGUAGAGAUCGGGAGGAAUACCAGUGGCGAAGGCGGCCUUCUGGACUGACACUGACACUGAGGUGCGAAAGCGUGGGUAGCAAACAGGAUUAGAUACCCCAGUAGUC